Molecule: ribosomal RNA, 475 nt
Filed under: uncultured bacterium
Lineage: Bacteria
Description: bacterial SSU rRNA
Rfam family: Bacterial small subunit ribosomal RNA
Source: RNAcentral
UAGUCCACGCCGUAAACGAUGAGAACUAGAUGUUGGGGGAAUCUGUCCUUCGGUGUCGCAGCUAACGCGUUAAGUUCUCCGCCUGGGGAGUACGCCGGCAACGGUAAAACUCAAAGGAAUUGACGGGGACCCGCACAAGCGGUGGAGCAUGUGGUUUAAUUCGAUGAUACGCGAGGAACCUUACCAGGGCUUAAAUGUAAGUUGCAUUAGUUAGAGAUAGCUAUUUCUUCGGACUACUUACAAGGUGCUGCAUGGUUGUCGUCAGCUCGUGCCGUGAGGUGUCAGGUUAAGUCCUAUAACGAGCGCAACCCCUGUUGUUAGUUGCCAGCGAGUCAAGUCGGGAACUCUAACAAGACUGCCGGUGCAAACCGUGAGGAAGGUGGGGAUGACGUCAAAUCAUCACGGCCCUUACGUCCUGGGGCUACACACGUGCUACAAUGGUAGGUACAGAGAGCAGCCACUGCGCGAGCAGGGA